This 325-nucleotide ribosomal RNA is filed under the name uncultured eukaryote. RNAcentral describes it as "partial 18S ribosomal RNA". It matches the Rfam family "Eukaryotic small subunit ribosomal RNA", at positions 1470 to 1796 of the family's 1831-position model. The record is from RNAcentral.
CCCUUAGAUGUUCUGGGCCGCACGCGCGCUACACUGAUGCAUUCAACGAGCCUAUCCUUGACCGACAGGUCCGGGUAAUCUUUGAAUCUGCAUCGUGACGGGGAUAGAUUAUUGCAAUUAUUAAUCUUCAACGAGGAAUGCCUAGUAGGCGCAAGUCAUCAGCUUGCGUCGAUUACGUCCCUGCCCUUUGUACACACCGCCCGUCGCUCCUACCGAUUGGGUGUGCUGGUGAAAUGUUCGGAUCGGCCGUUUGUCGCGGUUUCCGCGUCAUGUGGCUGGGAAGUUCAUUAAACCCUCCCACCUAGAGGAUGGAGAAGUCGUAACA